RNAcentral lists this transfer RNA (93 nucleotides) under Treponemataceae bacterium. RNAcentral's name for it is "tRNA-Leu". Lineage: Bacteria; Pseudomonadati; Spirochaetota; Spirochaetia; Treponematales; Treponemataceae. The record is from RNAcentral.
GUUUUUAUGGGCGUCCUGAACAUUGGUAUGUCGAUUUUAAGCAUCGACCAAAACUGGCAGCGUGCGGUAAAAGGUGCCGUCCUUUUGGCAGCC